UGGGGAAUUUUAGACAAUGGGGGAAACCCUGAUCUAGCCAUGCCGCGUGAGUGAUGAAGGCCCUAGGGUCGUAAAGCUCUUUCGCCAGGGAUGAUAAUGACAGUACCUGGUAAAGAAACCCCGGCUAACUCCGUGCCAGCAGCCGCGGUAAUACGGAGGGGGUUAGCGUUGUUCGGAAUUACUGGGCGUAAAGCGCGCGUAGGCGGAUUAGAAAGUUAGAGGUGAAAUCCCGGGGCUCAACCCCGGAACUGCCUUUAAAACUCCUAGUCUUGAGUUCGAGAGAGGUGAGUGGAAUUCCGAGUGUAGAGGUGAAAUUCGUAGAUAUUCGGAGGAACACCAGUGGCGAAGGCGGCUCACUGGCUCGAUACUGACGCUGAGGUGCGAAAGUGUGGGGAGCAAACAGGAUUAGAUACCCCUGUAGUCC
RNAcentral lists this ribosomal RNA (424 nucleotides) under uncultured prokaryote. RNAcentral's name for it is "bacterial SSU rRNA". It matches the Rfam family "Bacterial small subunit ribosomal RNA", at positions 355 to 796 of the family's 1533-position model. The record is from RNAcentral.